AGGACGAACGCUGGCGGCGUGCUUAACACAUGCAAGUCGAGCGGUAAGGCCUUUCGGGGUACACGAGCGGCGAACGGGUGAGUAACACGUGGGUGAUCUGCCCUGCACUCUGGGAUAAGCCUGGGAAACUGGGUCUAAUACCGGAUAUGACCUGCUCUCGCAGUGGGGGUGGGUGGAAAGAUUUAUCGGUGCAGGAUGGGCCCGCGGCCUAUCAGCUUGUUGGUGGGGUAAUGGCCUACCAAGGCGACGACGGGUAGCCGACCUGAGAGGGUGACCGGCCACACUGGGACUGAGACACGGCCCAGACUCCUACGGGAGGCAGCAGUGGGAAUAUUGCACAAUGGGCGAAAGCCUGAUGCAGCGACGCCGCGUGAGGAUGAAGGCCUUACGGGUUGUAAACCUCUUUCAGCAGGACGAAGCGCAAGUGACGUACCUGCAGAAGAAGCACCGGACUAACUACGUGCCAGCAGCCGAC
This 475-nucleotide ribosomal RNA is filed under the name uncultured soil bacterium. RNAcentral's name for it is "bacterial SSU rRNA". It matches the Rfam family "Bacterial small subunit ribosomal RNA", at positions 26 to 518 of the family's 1533-position model. The record is from RNAcentral.